GUUUUUAUAGUUUAAAACUAAAACAUUGGUCUUGUAAAUCAAAAAUAAGUAAUUUCUUUAAAAACU
RNAcentral lists this transfer RNA (66 nucleotides) under Allancastria cerisyi. RNAcentral's name for it is "trnA-Thr". It matches the Rfam family "tRNA". Rfam says of the family: Transfer RNA (tRNA) molecules are approximately 80 nucleotides in length. Lineage: Eukaryota; Metazoa; Arthropoda; Insecta; Lepidoptera; Papilionidae. The record is from RNAcentral.